RNAcentral lists this long non-coding RNA (7113 nucleotides) under Ananas comosus (pineapple). RNAcentral describes it as "long non-coding RNA (ACOM_LNC030900)". The record is from RNAcentral. Lineage: Eukaryota; Viridiplantae; Streptophyta; Magnoliopsida; Poales; Bromeliaceae.
GCACUACAACAAAAACGGUCUAUAGCGAUACUUUUAAAUGUAGGUACAUGUCAAAAAAAUACUGCUAACUAAAAUUACCGACACUUUUAAAAAGUGUUGCUAUAUGGGGGGUCGCUAGGUAUAUAGUGACAGUUAAAGAGUGUCGCUAUAACCUAAAAGAGUGCUGCUAAUUUACCAACACUUAUUUAAGCAUUUAGCAACCGCCGAAACUCUAUCUCAUUGGCUGCGGUGGCAGAGGAGGACGACAGGAAAGAAUCUUCGUCUAGAAUUUCAGUGGAUUGAGUGAAGAGAGAAGAAAAGAUGGUAAUUGAUUUUUCUUUUUUUUUCCUUUUCUAUUUGUAAUCGGGCCAAAUGGACUGGGUGUGGUGGGUUGAGUAGAGUAAUCUUUUAUUUUUGGUUGGAUUGGGCUUUAUAUUUAGGCAUUAGUAGAUAUUUUUUUAAGUUUUAGCAUAAAUAGGACACUUACUCAAAAGUGUUCCAAACAUGUGUCCCUAUAACAUAAUUCUGUUGUAGUGGCGUGCGCGUGCAACGCGGAGCCAGCGCGGAGAGAGCACGCGAGCCGUAACGUCCUUAUAAUAAUAAAUAUAAAAAUAAAAAUAAAAUAAUUAAUAAAUUAAAAUAAUAAAAUAAUAAUUAUUAGGAAAUUUUGGAUUUUCACCAACAGGUCCCAAGUGUUUUAUCCGAGAUACUAUUAAUAGGGUGUGCAAUCUCUUAUAUUUUAAUAGUGUUAGUUUUUGUAGGAGUGAGGUUACUAUGCUUCUGAAAGCACGGAACCUUUCGUGCUUCCAGGUCACUUUUGAUGUUGCGACUUUCGAAUCGUCGAUCGGCUCUGUUAAACUUGAUUUAGAGUAUUUGAAGUACCUAGAAAAUAAAUUUUGCAAUUUUUCGAUAUCAUUUGCCUAGUGAACUAAGGGGCUCAUAAUUAACGGCUGAAAAUAAAAAUCUUACAAAACGUGAUAAUAUGAUAUUAAAAUUUUAGAUCAAAGAUAUUGAUCUUGUUUUAUAUAGUAUAAAGAAUUUUCUAUCAAAAUUUCACGUGAUUUGGAUAUUUCUACACCGUUAAACUUGCAAACGGCUCACAACGGCCAUUAAAAUUAUUGAUUUUGAGUCCCUUCGAUCACUAGGUAAAUGAUAUCGAAAAAUUAUAAAAUUUAUUUUCUAAGUACUUCAAAUAUUCUAGAUCAAGUUUAACGGAGCCGAUCGACGAUUCAAAAGUCGCAAUAUCAAAAACGACAUGAAAGCACGAAAGGCUCCGUACUUUUAGAAGCAUAGUAGCCUCACUCGUUUUUGUAGUUACCUAAAACAAUAGAUUCAUGGCAUAGUAACGACACUCAGGAUAAAAUGCGUAUCUAGUACUGUUACGCGGAGCUAGUGAUUAAUUUGGGUGCGAGAAUGAUUGCAUUAGGAGUUAUUUUUAUAAACAUGCAUCUAAUGCACCACUUUCAAUAUUUGAUGAAUAAUUUUUUUUUAAUUAAAGACAAAGUUUACAGAAUUAAUUAAACUCUGAUUUUGAUGCACUUGCAUUUAAAUUUGUAGUGUUCCAGAGGUUUGGAUAGGAUUGGCUACUGUAUUAGUGACUGGUCGACACAUUUGGAAAGUGUCGGACUGAGUCGGAAUUGUUUCUGCACGAAAUGGAUGCAGAAAUGGACUCGACGCACUCGAAUAAGCAAAACUGAAGUUUUGCCAGAUUCUGGCGCUCAGAACAGGAUUUGGGUCGCCCAGAAUUUGAGUGCAGAAUUGAGCAAAACUGGAAACCAAUUCGGAUCCUAAUUUCGGGUGCCCAGAAGUGGGUCCGAAAAUUCACCUCGUGAAUAUCGUUUGAGCUGACACGUGUUUGUGGUAGAUGAGAUCCACCGGACUAGAUUUAGGGCACAGCACACCGCAGGCGGAGGAGUCGAAGUGGGAGCUUUAUAUGGCCUGGAGGUUUCGGACGCCCAAAAUGUUGUUUCGGGCGUCCGAAAGUGCUCGUUUCUGUAGGUGUAGCAGGUUUGUAGUGUUUGUUCAUGGGGCUUACUUUAUCCUUCCAGCACACUAUAAAUAGCUGGAGUUCGUCCCCAGUGAACUAUUUUCAUCCUCUCUUCACAGUGAAGACCAAAUUAGCAUUUCAACCCCUCAAAUUACUCCAAAUUUUUCAAUUUCCACCAUUUCCUCCUUGAAGACUGCAGUUCCAGUAGAAUUCCAACAGCGACCUUCAGCGUUUUGACUCGUGUGCGACGUAGGAAGGUCGGAUUGCUGUGAAACUUGGUUUGGUGGAUUCUAGACUUCAAGAGAAAUUCGUGGAGCCCAUUUUGAUAGAAUUUGAUUCAGGUUAGUAUAGUCAAAUUGCUAUUCUUCUGGACUGCUGCAGUAUUGAAGCUGAAUUUUGAGUUUUGUGGGUUUUCUUGAUGCAAUUUUUGGAGGAAGCUAAGUUUUGGACCAGAGGGUGAUGCUCCAUCUCAGUUCACAGGAUUUGGGACCUUUUCUCACCUGAUUUGAAAAUUGGAAGGUAAAGUUGACAUUGUGAAUGAGGUGAAUUAAGCUUAGAUGCUGAAUUUUGAAGUAUUGAUGGAAUUGGUGGUGUUUCAUGUUCAGAUCUUUGGAGAGGAGUGUGCUGAUUGUGACCGAGCUUAGCAGGGUUUUCCGGCGACCUCUCGCUGCCGUAGACUGAGUGCUAGAGGUGGGUUAAUCAUCGGAUUCUCCUCCUAAGGGCCCGUUUGGUUCGAGUUAUGUAAUAUUACAAAGUAUCUCGACAUAUCCAGGUAUCUUGGAUUUCGGCGUAAGAUUACUACUGAUGCCGCAUUAGCGCGUUUGGUUUAAUGCAGUAAUGUAAUACUAGAUUACACUGUUUAUAGCAUUAAUACGUUUGGUUCAGUUUUUAAAAUUUAGUAAUCUUGACAUAAAAGUAUAGUUUUUUUCAAAAUUGUCCUUGUUGUGGUCAUUUGAAUAUUAUUUUUUGCGGAAAUGACAAAUGGAGGGAAGGAGAUCAUGAUGAUUACCUGGGAGGACGACGCAAUAGAAGAUGAUAGGUGUUCGUACGCGUGCGCGAGAGAGAGAGAGAGAGAGAGAUAGAGAGAAAGAGAGAGCGAGAGACGUUGAGAGAGAGAGAGAGCGAGAGACGUUGAGAGAGAGAGAGCGAGAGAAAGCGGCGUGCGAGAGAGAGGGGGGAAGGCGAGAGAGAGAGAUGAAAAUAAUACUGUUAAUUAGAUUUGGGGUUGUUGGAGGGUAAAAUUGUCAUUUUACAUAAUAUGUAGUAUUAACGGGUUUUAGUAAUGCAAGAUACACGACCCCCCUCCCGUUAAUAUUUUCGAUGUAAUCCUGCUCGAUUUGUAAUGCUACAUUAACGACUAGAUUACAUAGCGGAUUAACCAAACACAGUUAUCCUGGCAGGAUUGCCUGUAAUCCUGCCAGGAUAACUCGAACCAAACGCACCCUAAGUGUAUGAAUAGUCAACAUGUAUAUUUUCAACCUUUGUAUAUCAUAUUUUUAGCUCGAAUUCAUCGAUUAGCAUGUUAAACAAAAUAUGAAUUUGGAGCAUGCUGUAGUGAGUUAGAUAAAUUAUAAAUAUUGGACUUUGAAUUGACUUAGCAGAAAACCGGCGAUUCUAUACUGUCAUAUGUUAAAACUACUAGAUCUAGCUCCAGAAGCCGUAGUUUUUUUGUAUCGCCGCAGUUGGUGGGCAGUUGAUACCCAGAAUAGUAUAGAAUGUUUUUACGCUCGUACCGAGAUGCCGAGCUUAUAUUUACAGCAGUGUUUUAGGCUGUGUCGGAUUGUCGGAUGCCGUUGUGGUUGACGGUGGACCCAGAUAACGGUUUUUGUAUCAGAUUGUGCCGAGGGCACGUGAGUUGGAUUCUUAGACCCUAUUACUUGACUAUAGCUUGUGAGAGCCUGAUUGAGUUCGACAGAGAUACGCUUGCAUACUCGGUUGGGUAGCGCCUACGAGUACCACUCCGGAGUCGGGCUUUGUGCGUUUGCGUUGGUGUCGUUGUGUCCUAGUUGGACUUGCUCUUCACAGACGGCUUAGCAUGGAGGUAGCUGUAUAGCUUCGACAGGCGGGACGGGUGUCUUCACAGUCCCUAGUGAAAUUGGGUCAGAGAUUGCAUUAUUCUACAGAUAGUUAGUUUUGGAUCAUGAUAGUAGAAUGGCAUAUAGCUGUAGAUUGUUUCCAGUUUCUUUACUAUUAUUUGUGCAUACUUUCUGUAGACUUGGUGGAUGAACCGAUGAGUUUGAGGGUGGUACCCACUGAGGAUUACUUCUUUUACAGUAGUUCUCACGCCCAGUUGUUGCCCCUCUGUUUGCAGAGCCUUCUUCUUCGGCUGCUGCUAUUGCGGAUAUCGAUCGUGGAAAGGGAGUCGCAAGCUAGAUCCCUUCCCGUUUUGCUGCUGAUUUAGAGAUAUAUCGGUUACAGGUAGUUGUAGUUUUUUGUUCUUGUACAUACUGCUGUUAGAUCCUCGCUGGAGCGAGUAUUUUUGUACUAGGAUGCGAUGUAUGUAUAGUGAACCAGUUUUACUUAUAUAUUAUUUUUUUUAGCAGCCCUAUACUACUAGUUGUAGUGUUGUAUGAUUACAGUUAUAGGUACAGCGAUCGCUUCGUAUAUGGAAAAAAAUUUUAUGUAUACGGCGAGUCCGUUGGCGUGCCCGGGGAAACGAGUAAUCCGGGGCGUGACAAUAUUAGAAGGUUUUAGCGGUUCAUGUGGUGGUGCGCAACAGGUGCACACAAAUUUAGAUAUUUUAGAUUAUACCUACUUAAUUAGAAUUUAAUUUUAAGAUAUAAAUUGUUAUGUGCAAAAGGUGUCGUUAUAAACAUAGGGACUAAGUGCAUAAUGCACAAAAUUAUUACAAUUUUUUUUAAAAAAAAUAUUCUUACAUUGUAUUUUUUUGUAUAGUAAUUUAUACAUAAUUAAUAUAUUUUUUUAUGAAUAUUAAAAAAUAAUUAUAUUAUUCCUCAAGUUGUUUAAACUAUAAAACAUUAUGGUUCUUGACAUUAUUUCUAUCUUGACUUAACUAUUUAAUUUCCUACCAAUUGGAAAGGAAGAUGCACAAAACUUUGAGAUAAAUUAAAGUCACAGUGAAAAUUGGAAUAUAAAAAUUUAAGUAAAUAUUGUAGUAGCUUAAAUUAUUGAUAGAAUAAUCAUUCUUAUACAUGAAAUGUCUAAGAUGCUUCACAAAAAAAAUUAAGUGUGCUAAAAGAUUAGCAAGCAUAUUUGAGACUUCAUACAUAAACCCAACCAAAAGCCUUGUUAUUAUAUAUAUAUACUUCAAAGUAUAGAAAUAGACAAAUAUAGCAUAUAUAAAUUAGAUAUAUAGCAUUUUGAAGGAUCUAUAACACGAGGGAAUCAUUUGCUUGAAUGUAAUUGUAGUGCAGUUGAAGAUGCAUACAAUUAAAAAUGCAGCAGUUAUACUUACAUGCAUCUUAUCUUUAAUUAGAUGUUGUACGUAAAAAGCGCUACAGCUAUAAAUAAUUUAUUUGAUUGUAUGAGGUUGAGAAGUAGCUACAUUUGUAAAAUUUUAUCACUUUAUGUAUAAGAUAGUGAUUUUACUAUUUAAUCAACAAAUGUAAUAAAUUUAAAACAUAAAGAAUCACAUACUUCAGAGUAAAAUCACGUGUAAAAACUUAGAUCAUGCUACCGACCGUCUCUAAAGCAAGUGGCAAAGGGCUUGGUGGUUAGUACCCGAGACCCAAGUUCGAAUACUAGUUGAUUCACAUUUCCAGCUAAGUUUAUUUCUAAAUGAAAUAAACAAAACGGGUAGCGUGCUACCUAUCUCUCAAAAAAAAAAAAAAAAAAAAAAACUUAGAUCAUGCUAUUUCAUAGCAUUUUAGGGUUUAGAGUUUAGGAUUGUAGGGUUAGAGUUCUGGUUUUUAGGGUUUUAAGUUUUUAGAAUUAUAUAUUUAGGAUCCUAUUUGCCUCUAUUUCAUAGCAUCCUUCAACUUUUUUUUAUUUAUACCCAUUUAACUUUCAAAUUUUUUUAUUUCAAUUUUUCUGGUUAUUUAGCUUUUUUUUAGAAAAAUCACUCACUGCAAUAGCUAUUAGUUGUUCAUAGCUCUAACUCUAUUUUCUAAAAUAUGCUUAAAAUAUUAUAUUCAACAAAACCACUAAUAAAUUUGAUAAAAUUUUAAAAUUUACUUGAUAAAAAUGACUCCAGUACCCGUACAAAAAAUAUUAAUUAAAAGUUGAAGGAUGUGCGAAUUAAAACAAAAAAAAAAGGAGUAAAUUAAGUUGAGAUAGGUGAGUAUCUAAAUAACAUGCAUAUAUAGUUAAGAUCAAAUUUGUCAUUCUAUAAUUUAACUUAUAUUAAACUAGCCUCGAACCAGGGUUAAUUAUCGCCAAAUAUCGUCAAACACUACAACAAAAACGGUCUGUAGCGACACUUUUAAAUAUAGGUACAUGUCAAAAAAGUGCUGCUAGCUAAAAUUACCGACACUUUUAAAAAGUGUUGCUAUAUGUGGAGUUGCUAGGUAUAUAGUGACAGUUAAAGAGUGUCGCUAUAACCUAAAAGAGUGUUGCUAAUUUACCAACACUUAUUUAAGCAUUUAGCAACCGCCGAAACUCUAUCUCGUUGACUGCGGUGGCGGAGGAGGACGACAGGAAAGGCUCUUCGUCUAGAAUUUCAGUGGAUUGAGUGAAGAGAGAAGAAAAGAUGGUAAUUGAUUUUUUUUUUUUUUCUGAUUGUAAUCGGGUCAAAUGGACUGGGUGUGGUAGGUUGAGUAUAGUAACAUCAUAUUUUUUGUUGGAUUCGGCUUUAUAUUUAGGCAUUAGUAGAUGUAUUUUAAAAUUUUGACAUAAAUGGGACACUUAGACAAAAGUGUCCCAAACAUGUGUCCCUAUAAUCUAAUUCUGUUGUAGUGUUGGUGUACAUUGUGCAUGGAUGCAUACUUGGAUUUAUAGAAAACGAGAGAAGGGUGGGAGAAAUUUAGAAAGAGAGCUCGGGUUAAAGCAACUCUGUAUAGAAAAGAAGUCAUAUGUAAUUCUUCUUUUGAUUAAUGAAUCUUAUUUCAUCCGCUUUUUCUAUUUAUUUUUUUUCUCUUUUGUGACUGCAAUUUAGGGUAAAAAUUCGAUUUGACGUUUUCGUUGCAGAAUCUCAACAAUCGGUACUGGAUCGAGUAUCGGGUCAACAGCAAUAGUUAUCAAGGCGAGUU